UACGUAGGGGGCAAGCGUUGUUCGGAAUCACUGGGCGUAAAGCGCACGCAGGCGGAUCGAUAAGUCGGGGGUGAAAGCCCGGGGCUCAACCUCGGAAUUGCCUUCGAUACUGUCGGUCUCGAGUCCGGGAGAGGUGAGUGGAAGUCCUAGUGUAGAGGUGAAAUUCGUAGAUAUUAGGAAGAACACCAGUGGCGAAGGCGGCUCACUGGCCCGGUACUGACGCUCAGGUGCGAAAGCGUGGGGAGCAAACAGG
RNAcentral lists this ribosomal RNA (253 nucleotides) under uncultured bacterium. RNAcentral describes it as "partial 16S ribosomal RNA". It matches the Rfam family "Bacterial small subunit ribosomal RNA", at positions 524 to 776 of the family's 1533-position model. The record is from RNAcentral.